AAUUGCUAAGGUGUAGUCUCAAGUCCUAAAAAAGCAAAGUUCAGGAAGUGGGACUCCCUGAAGAAACAGGAAAGAGCACAGGAGAUGAGGAACAAACACAGCCAAUGGUGAGGCCCUCAGCAGGGAGCAAGGAGGGGGUGCUGUUGUUAAUAAAAAAAGAAGAAAGAAGAUUUUCAUCUAAAAUGAGAAAAGAGGAGAGAAAACAGCUGCAUUUAUGCAAGAUGGGGCAAAGACAUGGAAGAUACGGGCCCUCACUGUAUAGUAGCUAUAUCAGUCUUCUUGGGCUGCCCCAAGUCUCUGGUCUUGGAUGUUUCUGGUUGUCUGGCUGGACGGCUUAAACAACAGGAG
Molecule: long non-coding RNA, 348 nt
Filed under: Homo sapiens (human)
Lineage: Eukaryota; Metazoa; Chordata; Mammalia; Primates; Hominidae
Description: non-protein coding TAPT1-AS1:9
Source: RNAcentral